This 253-nucleotide ribosomal RNA is filed under the name uncultured bacterium. RNAcentral describes it as "partial 16S ribosomal RNA". It matches the Rfam family "Bacterial small subunit ribosomal RNA", at positions 524 to 776 of the family's 1533-position model. The record is from RNAcentral.
UACGGAGGGUGCAAGCGUUAUCCGGAUUCACUGGGUUUAAAGGGUGCGUAGGCGGGUAAGUAAGUCCGUGGUGAAAUCUCUGAGCUUAACUCAGAAACUGCCGUGGAUACUAUUUGCCUUGAAUAUUGUGGAGGUGAGCGGAAUAUGUCAUGUAGCGGUGAAAUGCUUAGAUAUGACAUAGAACACCAAUUGCGAAGGCAGCUCACUACACAAUGAUUGACGCUGAGGCACGAAAGCGUGGGGAUCAAACAGG